RNAcentral lists this ribosomal RNA (418 nucleotides) under uncultured bacterium. RNAcentral describes it as "bacterial SSU rRNA". It matches the Rfam family "Bacterial small subunit ribosomal RNA", at positions 355 to 773 of the family's 1533-position model. The record is from RNAcentral.
UGGGGAAUAUUGCGCAAUGGCCUAAGGGCUGACGCAGCGACGCCGCGUGUGGGAGGACGCCCCUAGGGGUGUAAACCACUGUUGCCCGGGACGAAUCCUGGAUUAGCUCCAGGUUGACGGUACCGGGUGAGGAAGCACCGGCUAACUCCGUGCCAGCAGCCGCGGUAAUACGGAGGGUGCGAGCGUUGUCCGGAAUCACUGGGCGUAAAGGGCGCGUAGGCGGCAGGCCAAGCGUGCGGUGAAAGUCCGGGGCUCAACCCCGGAUCGGCCGUGCGGACUGGUUUGCUGGAGCACUGUAGAGGCGAGUGGAAUUCCGGGUGUAGCGGUGGAAUGCGUAGAGAUCCGGAAGAACACCGGUGGCGAAGGCGGCUCGCUGGGCAGUGGCUGACGCUGAGGCGCGACAGCGUGGGGAGCAAAC